UGAAAAACUACGAAGAAAACUAGUAAAAUCAACGAUCGACACAGAGAAAGCUAUUAUUGCUGAAAUUAGCUUGAGAGAGUGGUUUGAAUUUCAUUUUCUGAGUUGUCAGCCGGGAUUUGACGUAUGUCGGUGAAAGGUUGGCCGGUUAAAGCCGUUAUUAAGUUGAGAGUUGAAGAAGAGUUUCUUCAAAAUUAGGGUGGUAUCGCGUACCUCGUCCCUUUA
Molecule: non-coding RNA, 222 nt
Filed under: Liquorilactobacillus ghanensis
Lineage: Bacteria; Bacillati; Bacillota; Bacilli; Lactobacillales; Lactobacillaceae
Description: Lactobacillus ghanensis T-box sequence
Rfam family: T-box leader
About the family: Uncharged tRNA acts as the effector for transcription antitermination of genes in the T-box leader family. T-boxes are found upstream of many aminoacyl-tRNA synthetase genes and some amino acid biosynthetic genes usually in Gram-positive bacteria.
Source: RNAcentral